RNAcentral lists this ribosomal RNA (1064 nucleotides) under uncultured bacterium. RNAcentral describes it as "bacterial SSU rRNA". It matches the Rfam family "Bacterial small subunit ribosomal RNA", at positions 9 to 1083 of the family's 1533-position model. The record is from RNAcentral.
GAGUUUGAUCCUGGCUCAGGAUGAACGCUAGCGGCAGGCUUAAUACAUGCAAGGCGAAGGGGCAGCAAUGUCACUGUCGUACGGGUGCGUAACGCGUAUGCAACCUACCUUUUACUGGGGGAUAGCCCGGGGAAACCCGGAUUAAUACCGCAUAAUACAUUAGGUCCACCUGGACUUUCUUGUUAAAGAUUUAUUGGUAAAAGAUGGGCAUGCGUUCGAUUAGCUAGUUGGCAGGGUAACGGCCUACCAAGGCAACGAUCGAUAGGGGAGCUGAGAGGUUGAUCCCCCACACGGGCACUGAGAUACGGGCCCGACUCCUACGGGAGGCAGCAGUAGGGAAUAUUGGGCAAUGGAUGCAAGUCUGACCCAGCCAUGCCGCGUGCCGAAAGAAGGCCCUCAGGGUUGUAAACGGCUUUUAUUCGGGAAGAAGAAUAGGGAUGCGUCCUUAUGUGACGGUACCGAAUGAAUAAGCACCGGCUAACUCCGUGCCAGCAGCCGCGGUAAUACGGAGGGUGCGAGCGUUGUCCGGAUUUAUUGGGUUUAAAGGGUGCGUAGGUGGCUGUUUAAGUCAGUGGUGAAAUACAGCCGCUCAACGGUUGAGGUGCCAUUGAUACUGAAUAGCUUGAAAUAAUUGGAGGCUGCCGGAAUGGAUGGUGUAGCGGUGAAAUGCAUAGAUAUCAUCCAGAACACCGAUUGCGAAAGCAGGUGGCUACGAUUUAUUUGACACUGAGGCACGAAAGCAUGGGGAGCAAACAGGAUUAGAUACCCUGGUAGUCCAUGCCGUAAACGAUGAGGUCUCGCUGUUCGUGCCCCCGCAUCAGCGGCUUAGGGAAACCGUUAAGUCCUCCGCCUGGGGGAGUACGCCGUCAACGGUGAAACUCAAAAGAAAUUGACGGGGGUCCGCACAAGUGGUGGAGCAUGUGGUUUUAAUUAGAAUGCUUCACGAGGAACCUUACCUGGUCUAAAUCAGACAGGAAUUAUCCAGAAAAUGGAUAAGCCAGCAAUGUCCAGUUAGAAGGUGGUGGAUGUCAUAAGUCAGCUCGUGUCGUGAGAUGUUGGUUUAA